AAAACAUUGCCAGUNUUUNCGCGAAAGGGGCUUCGGCCCCGAGUAGAGUGGCGAAAGGGCGAGGAAUACGUUUCUACGUACCCCGAGGUCAGGAUAGUUCAGGAAACCUGGGGUAAUACCUGAUGUGGUGCUUCNGCAUCAAAGGCUUGCCGCCUCGGGAGCGGGGAACGUCCUAUCAGGUUGUUGGUGAGGUAAUGGCUCACCAAGCCUUAGACGGGUAGCGGGUGUGAGAGCAUGACCCGCCGCAUCGGGACUGAGACACUGCCCGGACUCCUACGGGAGGCUGCAGUAACGAAUCUUCCGCAAUGCGCGAAAGCGUGACGGAGCAAUGCCGCGUGCAGGAUGAAGCCCCUCGGGGUGUAAACUGCUGUCAGGGUUUAGCAACACAAUGAGCAGACCCAAAGGAAGGGCCGGCUAACUUCGUGCCAGCAGCCGCGGUAAUACGAAGGGCCCGAGCGUUAUUCGGAAUCACUGGGCUUAAAGCGUACGUAGGCGGAUAUGUAGGCGCUGUGUGAAAUCCCUCGGCUCAACCGAGGAACUGCAUGGCGAACCACAUGUCUUGAGGCAAGUAGAGGCUGUCGGAACGAUAGGUGGAGUGGUGAAAUGCGUUGAUAUCUAUCGGAACGCCGGAGGUGAAGACAGGCAGCUGGGCUUGUUCUGACGCUCAUGUACGAAAGCGUGGGGAGCGAACGU
This 693-nucleotide ribosomal RNA is filed under the name uncultured bacterium. Its description in RNAcentral is "bacterial SSU rRNA". It matches the Rfam family "Bacterial small subunit ribosomal RNA", at positions 50 to 775 of the family's 1533-position model. The record is from RNAcentral.